This 253-nucleotide ribosomal RNA is filed under the name uncultured bacterium. Its description in RNAcentral is "partial 16S ribosomal RNA". It matches the Rfam family "Bacterial small subunit ribosomal RNA", at positions 524 to 776 of the family's 1533-position model. The record is from RNAcentral.
UACGGGGGGGGCAAGCGUUGUUCGGAAUUACUGGGCGUAAAGGGCGCGUAGGCGGUGCUGUAAGUCAGGCGUGAAAUCCCCGGGCUCAACCUGGGAAUUGCGUUUGAUACUGCGGCGCUGGAAUGCGGGAGAGGAUGGCGGAAUUCCCAGUGUAGAGGUGAAAUUCGUAGAUAUUGGGAAGAACACCGGUGGCGAAGGCGGCCAUCUGGCCCGUAAUUGACGCUGAGGCGCGAAAGCGUGGGGAGCAAACAGG